Molecule: ribosomal RNA, 497 nt
Filed under: uncultured bacterium
Lineage: Bacteria
Description: partial 16S ribosomal RNA
Rfam family: Bacterial small subunit ribosomal RNA
Source: RNAcentral
GAUGAACGCUGGCGGCGUGCCUAAUACAUGCAAGUCGAGCGAACAGACGAGGAGCUUGCUCCUCUGACGUUAGCGGCGGACGGGUGAGUAACACGUGGAUAACCUACCUAUAAGACUGGGAUAACUUCGGGAAACCGGAGCUAAUACCGGAUAAUAUAUUGAACUGCAUGGUUCAAUAGUGAAAGACGGUUUUGCUGUCACUUAUAGAUGGAUCCGCGCCGCAUUAGCUAGUUGGUAAGGUAACGGCUUACCAAGGCGACGAUGCGUAGCCGACCUGAGAGGGUGAUCGGCCACACUGGAACUAAGACACGGUCCAGACUCCUACGGGAGGCAGCAGUAGGGAAUCUUCCGCAAUGGGCGAAAGCCUGACGGAGCAACGCCGCGUGAGUGAUGAAGGUCUUCGGAUCGUAAAACUCUGUUAUUAGGGAAGAACAAAUGUGUAAGUAACUAUGCACGUCUUGACGGUACCUAAUCAGAAAGCCACGGCUAACUACGUG